RNAcentral lists this ribosomal RNA (583 nucleotides) under Priestia megaterium. RNAcentral describes it as "bacterial SSU rRNA". It matches the Rfam family "Bacterial small subunit ribosomal RNA", at positions 95 to 664 of the family's 1533-position model. Lineage: Bacteria; Bacillati; Bacillota; Bacilli; Caryophanales; Bacillaceae. The record is from RNAcentral.
GCGGCGGACGGGUGAGUAACACGUGGGCAACCUGCCUGUAAGACUGGGAUAACUUCGGGAAACCGAAGCUAAUACCGGAUAGGAUCUUCUCCUUCAUGGGAGAUGAUUGAAAGAUGGUUUCGGCUAUCACUUACAGAUGGGCCCGCGGUGCAUUAGCUAGUUGGUGAGGUAACGGCUCACCAAGGCAACGAUGCAUAGCCGACCUGAGAGGGUGAUCGGCCACACUGGGACUGAGACACGGCCCAGACUCCUACGGGAGGCAGCAGUAGGGAAUCUUCCGCAAUGGACGAAAGUCUGACGGAGCAACGCCGCGUGAGUGAUGAAGGCUUUCGGGUCGUAAAACUCUGUUGUUAGGGAAGAACAAGUACAAGAGUAACUGCUUGUACCUUGACGGUACCUAACCAGAAAGCCACGGCUAACUACGUGCCAGCAGCCGCGGUAAUACGUAGGUGGCAAGCGUUAUCCGGAAUUAUUGGGCGUAAAGCGCGCGCAGGCGGUUUCUUAAGUCUGAUGUGAAAGCCCACGGCUCAACCGUGGAGGGUCAUUGGAAACUGGGGAACUUGAGUGCAGAAGAGAAAAGCGG